RNAcentral lists this ribosomal RNA (406 nucleotides) under uncultured archaeon. RNAcentral's name for it is "bacterial SSU rRNA". It matches the Rfam family "Archaeal small subunit ribosomal RNA", at positions 595 to 997 of the family's 1478-position model. The record is from RNAcentral.
GGAACCGGGAGAGGUAAGAGGUACUACAGGGGUAGGAGUGAAAUCUUGUAAUCCCUGUGGGACCACCUGUGGCGAAGGCGUCUUACCAGAACGGGUUCGACGGUGAGGACGAAAGCUGGGGGCACGAACCGGAUUAGAUACCCGGGUAGUCCCAGCCGUAAACGAUGCUCGCUAGGUGUCAGGCAUGGCGCGACCGUGUCUGGUGCCGCAGGGAAGCCGUGAAGCGAGCCACCUGGGAAGUACGGCCGCAAGGCUGAAACUUAAAGGAAUUGGGCGGGGGAGCACAACGAACGGGUGGAGCCUGCGGUUUAAUUGGACUCAACGCCGGACAACUCGACCGGGGGCGACAGCAAUAUGUAGGCCAAGCUGAAGUACUUUGCCUGAAUCGCUGAGUAGUGGUGCAUGG